RNAcentral lists this ribosomal RNA (2931 nucleotides) under Escherichia coli. Its description in RNAcentral is "23S ribosomal RNA". It matches the Rfam family "Bacterial large subunit ribosomal RNA". Lineage: Bacteria; Pseudomonadati; Pseudomonadota; Gammaproteobacteria; Enterobacterales; Enterobacteriaceae. The record is from RNAcentral.
GGGUUGUGAGGUUAAGCGACUAAGCGUACACGGUGGAUGCCCUGGCAGUCAGAGGCGAUGAAGGACGUGCUAAUCUGCGAUAAGCGUCGGUAAGGUGAUAUGAACCGUUAUAACCGGCGAUUUCCGAAUGGGGAAACCCAGUGUGAUUCGUCACACUAUCAUUAACUGAAUCCAUAGGUUAAUGAGGCGAACCGGGGGAACUGAAACAUCUAAGUACCCCGAGGAAAAGAAAUCAACCGAGAUUCCCCCAGUAGCGGCGAGCGAACGGGGAGCAGCCCAGAGCCUGAAUCAGUGUGUGUGUUAGUGGAAGCGUCUGGAAAGGCGCGCGAUACAGGGUGACAGCCCCGUACACAAAAAUGCACAUGCUGUGAGCUCGAUGAGUAGGGCGGGACACGUGGUAUCCUGUCUGAAUAUGGGGGGACCAUCCUCCAAGGCUAAAUACUCCUGACUGACCGAUAGUGAACCAGUACCGUGAGGGAAAGGCGAAAAGAACCCCGGCGAGGGGAGUGAAAAAGAACCUGAAACCGUGUACGUACAAGCAGUGGGAGCACGCUUAGGCGUGUGACUGCGUACCUUUUGUAUAAUGGGUCAGCGACUUAUAUUCUGUAGCAAGGUUAACCGAAUAGGGGAGCCGAAGGGAAACCGAGUCUUAACUGGGCGUUAAGUUGCAGGGUAUAGACCCGAAACCCGGUGAUCUAGCCAUGGGCAGGUUGAAGGUUGGGUAACACUAACUGGAGGACCGAACCGACUAAUGUUGAAAAAUUAGCGGAUGACUUGUGGCUGGGGGUGAAAGGCCAAUCAAACCGGGAGAUAGCUGGUUCUCCCCGAAAGCUAUUUAGGUAGCGCCUCGUGAAUUCAUCUCCGGGGGUAGAGCACUGUUUCGGCAAGGGGGUCAUCCCGACUUACCAACCCGAUGCAAACUGCGAAUACCGGAGAAUGUUAUCACGGGAGACACACGGCGGGUGCUAACGUCCGUCGUGAAGAGGGAAACAACCCAGACCGCCAGCUAAGGUCCCAAAGUCAUGGUUAAGUGGGAAACGAUGUGGGAAGGCCCAGACAGCCAGGAUGUUGGCUUAGAAGCAGCCAUCAUUUAAAGAAAGCGUAAUAGCUCACUGGUCGAGUCGGCCUGCGCGGAAGAUGUAACGGGGCUAAACCAUGCACCGAAGCUGCGGCAGCGACGCUGAUGCGUUGUUGGGUAGGGGAGCGUUCUGUAAGCCUGUGAAGGUGUGCUGUGAGGCAUGCUGGAGGUAUCAGAAGUGCGAAUGCUGACAUAAGUAACGAUAAAGCGGGUGAAAAGCCCGCUCGCCGGAAGACCAAGGGUUCCUGUCCAACGUUAAUCGGGGCAGGGUGAGUCGACCCCUAAGGCGAGGCCGAAAGGCGUAGUCGAUGGGAAACAGGUUAAUAUUCCUGUACUUGGUGUUACUGCGAAGGGGGGACGGAGAAGGCUAUGUUGGCCGGGCGACGGUUGUCCCGGUUUAAGCGUGUAGGCUGGUUUUCCAGGCAAAUCCGGAAAAUCAAGGCUGAGGCGUGAUGACGAGGCACUACGGUGCUGAAGCAACAAAUGCCCUGCUUCCAGGAAAAGCCUCUAAGCAUCAGGUAACAUCAAAUCGUACCCCAAACCGACACAGGUGGUCAGGUAGAGAAUACCAAGGCGCUUGAGAGAACUCGGGUGAAGGAACUAGGCAAAAUGGUGCCGUAACUUCGGGAGAAGGCACGCUGAUAUGUAGGUGAAGUCCCUCGCGGAUGGAGCUGAAAUCAGUCGAAGAUACCAGCUGGCUGCAACUGUUUAUUAAAAACACAGCACUGUGCAAACACGAAAGUGGACGUAUACGGUGUGACGCCUGCCCGGUGCCGGAAGGUUAAUUGAUGGGGUUAGCGCAAGCGAAGCUCUUGAUCGAAGCCCCGGUAAACGGCGGCCGUAACUAUAACGGUCCUAAGGUAGCGAAAUUCCUUGUCGGGUAAGUUCCGACCUGCACGAAUGGCGUAAUGAUGGCCAGGCUGUCUCCACCCGAGACUCAGUGAAAUUGAACUCGCUGUGAAGAUGCAGUGUACCCGCGGCAAGACGGAAAGACCCCGUGAACCUUUACUAUAGCUUGACACUGAACAUUGAGCCUUGAUGUGUAGGAUAGGUGGGAGGCUUUGAAGUGUGGACGCCAGUCUGCAUGGAGCCGACCUUGAAAUACCACCCUUUAAUGUUUGAUGUUCUAACGUUGACCCGUAAUCCGGGUUGCGGACAGUGUCUGGUGGGUAGUUUGACUGGGGCGGUCUCCUCCUAAAGAGUAACGGAGGAGCACGAAGGUUGGCUAAUCCUGGUCGGACAUCAGGAGGUUAGUGCAAUGGCAUAAGCCAGCUUGACUGCGAGCGUGACGGCGCGAGCAGGUGCGAAAGCAGGUCAUAGUGAUCCGGUGGUUCUGAAUGGAAGGGCCAUCGCUCAACGGAUAAAAGGUACUCCGGGGAUAACAGGCUGAUACCGCCCAAGAGUUCAUAUCGACGGCGGUGUUUGGCACCUCGAUGUCGGCUCAUCACAUCCUGGGGCUGAAGUAGGUCCCAAGGGUAUGGCUGUUCGCCAUUUAAAGUGGUACGCGAGCUGGGUUUAGAACGUCGUGAGACAGUUCGGUCCCUAUCUGCCGUGGGCGCUGGAGAACUGAGGGGGGCUGCUCCUAGUACGAGAGGACCGGAGUGGACGCAUCACUGGUGUUCGGGUUGUCAUGCCAAUGGCACUGCCCGGUAGCUAAAUGCGGAAGAGAUAAGUGCUGAAAGCAUCUAAGCACGAAACUUGCCCCGAGAUGAGUUCUCCCUGACUCCUUGAGAGUCCUGAAGGAACGUUGAAGACGACGACGUUGAUAGGCCGGGUGUGUAAGCGCAGCGAUGCGUUGAGCUAACCGGUACUAAUGAACCGUGAGGCUUAACCUUACAACGCCGAAGGUGUUU